CCUACGGGGGGCUGCAGUGAGGAAUAUUGGUCAAUGGACGAGAGUCUGAACCAGCCAAGUAGCGUGAAGGAUGACUGCCCUAUGGGUUGUAAACUUCUUUUAUAAAGGAAUAAAACGAGGCACGUGUGCCUUUUUGUAUGUACUUUAUGAAUAAGGAUCGGCUAACUCCGUGCCAGCAGCCGCGGUAAUACGGAGGAUCCGAGCGUUAUCCGGAUUUAUUGGGUUUAAAGGGAGCGUAGAUGGGUUGUUAAGUCAGUUGUGAAAGUUUGCGGCUCAACCGUAAAAUUGCAAUUGAUACUGGCAGUCUUGAGUACAGUUGAGGUAGGCGGAAUUCGUGGUGUAGCGGUGAAAUGCUUAGAUAUCACGAAGAACCCCGAUUGCGAAGGCAGCUUACUAAACUGUGACUGACAUUGAGGCUCGAAAGUGUGGGUAUCAAACAGGAUUAGAUACCCUGGUAGUC
This 460-nucleotide ribosomal RNA is filed under the name uncultured bacterium. RNAcentral's name for it is "partial 16S ribosomal RNA". It matches the Rfam family "Bacterial small subunit ribosomal RNA", at positions 338 to 795 of the family's 1533-position model. The record is from RNAcentral.